UAAGCUCGUAUCUAUCCCGGCGCUUAGCACGGCGCCUGGCUCGUAGUAAGCGAUUCAGAAAUACCACGGAAAAAAUGGUCUGAAGAAAACGGUAGCCAAGUAUCAGCUUAGAUCUGGGGAGCCCUCCACACGACCAGAGCUUUUCGUUGGCAGAACAGAACGCCAAAUUGGGCUUCCUAGGCAGAACGGUCCCCUCUCAGGGUGGCACCUGGAGAGUUUCCAGUACUCUGCCGGUCUCGGCUACGGGAGGGAGAGUCAAGCAGAGGCCUGUCUGUCUCAUUCCUAGCUUGGCCAGUGGCUAGCGAGUGGAAGGCCAUUUGCUACAAUUCAAAACCCCUCCGUGCCGGGCAGCGGCGGCACGGGACAGAGUCGAGGGCGGGGACUCGAGUUUACCGCGCGGAAGGAGGCGACGGUAAACCGCCUCUGGAUUUUUACCAAGGAGACUCUACGGAUCCACUCCCGGAAGGGUUGCGGAUGGAGAGUGUGCCCGUGGUGUCGCUGCGGGUCGGAAACGACUCGACGGCAUAAGACAGCGGACCUCCGUCGGGGGGUAUUUACGGAGCGCUUUCUCUGGGCGGAGCCCCGUGUUCGGGGCUUGGGAAAACGAGCUAGAAAGGGGGACCGUAAAGGCCGGAGGCCGCAAACCUGACUGGCGACGGGGGUGGCGGGGGACCUCCGAUCCCAAACCGGCGGCCUCCCGGAACGUGGCGAAAUCCAACCGUCUGUGGGCUGGGAGCCCCGGACCGACUUCAGAGACAAACCAGCUCCCGGAACUACUUUAUCAGCACCGACGACAAAUCGCCCGGGACGGUCCCCCGCGCUGCACGCGGUAAGAACGCAGAAGACGCCAUGGAUGACGACGACAGGAUAACUGACAGCAAAGCCCUGAAAUCCAGGCGGUGAGCAGCAUCGGGCGAGAGCUCGGUCGCCGGGCGGCACAGAUAAGACGAGUGGACGACCGCCACUUAGGCAGGCGGAAACGAGCGGCCCCGAAGCAACGCGGCCUUGCGGAAAGAGCCCGGGCCUGGGAGUCAGAGGACCCGGGUUCUCCUUCCGGCGCUGCCGCUGGCCUCCUGUUUGACCUCAGAGUCAGAGCAAGCAGCAGUUCUGAAUUUUAGCUCCAAUCCAGCUGGAAGCAUAAAAUGCGGCCAGAGACGGCACCGAGCAAAAGGAGCCUAUUUACAUUCAUUCCCGAAAACCUGAAUCGCCUCCGCUUCCGGCGUCCCUCCCACCAAAGAGAAGGUGUUCACGUGUUCCUCCCAUUCGGGGAGGAUUGAUUCCGGAGGGCUUUAACCUUCCCAGGGAGAGCGCAGAGGGGCCGAGCCCUGGCGGGACCCCACUCGCUCAGCAACUGAUUCCCAGCCUGCCUCUCCCUACUCUAACCCAAAGAAGCACCAGUUUCCUGCAAAACGAGGGCUUUGGGAGAAAGGGUGGAAUGUCCCUUCAUCCCCUCCGCCGCCCCCACCCCUUUCACCAAGCUUAAGACCCCAGAUGGGUGGAGACUGGUUUCUGCGCCCGGAUGGAUCGUUCCCACACCGCCCGAGGCCCCGGUUGCGGGCCGGGGGGCAGCAGGAGGGGCCGGGUCUGCGCCCGGCUCCGGACCGCGGAGCUCAGUCCCCAGUCACUCCGGGAGAGACCCGUUUUCGAGGGUCGGUGGGAAAACCGGACGGAUGAGCUAAGAUGACGGCUCAGACGCCGGGCCUCAUUCUCUCUGAGGCUCGCUAUCGUCGUUUUGGCCCGGAUGCCCCCGCCUGCUGAAUUCCGACACAGGCCGGCACAGAGAGGGCCCGGAAAUCCCUCCUCGGGCCCGGCCCCGGCCCCGUUUUCCCCAGGAUGGAAUCCACCGGCUGUCCCGGGGAACGUUUGCCGGAGCCGUCUCUUUCGAAGCGGUCGGACUGACCGCCCGCCCCGGGCGACAAACGCCCCCUCCCCCAAAUCGACGGACCUGUUUCCCAACUAGCCUCGGGGCAGACGGCUCCCCGGCCACGCCACCACUCCGCCGACCCUGGACGGAGGAACCCGGCUCUGCUUGCGUCAGCCUCGAACCGGACAACUCCGGAAAGAACCGGUGGUCUUUCGUACCACAGGUUAACGUUCGGGGUGGGGGCUGCCCACCCGCACGCCCGACAGCGCCCUCCCAACGCCUCCUCGGUUCACUCCUCUCAUUACGUCGGACAGUUCUGAAACAAGUCCUCGCGGGAGGCUCUGUCGAGAUCAGAGGAGAAGGUGCACGUUAGAGAAAAUACAGUAUAUUUUUGCAGGCAA
This is a long non-coding RNA of Ornithorhynchus anatinus (platypus), 2265 nucleotides long. RefSeq lists it as uncharacterized. NCBI's taxonomy places the organism in Eukaryota, Metazoa, Chordata, Mammalia, Monotremata, Ornithorhynchidae. The transcript is spliced from 2 exons. The record is from RefSeq and is a predicted model, not a curated record.